RNAcentral lists this ribosomal RNA (613 nucleotides) under uncultured bacterium. RNAcentral describes it as "bacterial SSU rRNA". The stretch from base 1 to 538 matches the Rfam family "Bacterial small subunit ribosomal RNA", at positions 338 to 873 of the family's 1533-position model. The record is from RNAcentral.
CCUACGGGAGGCAGCAGUGGGGAAUUUUGGACAAUGGGGGCAACCCUGAUCCAGCAAUGCCGCGUGUGUGAAGAAGGCCUUCGGGUUGUAAAGCACUUUUGUCCGGAAAGAAAACGUUCUGGUUAAUACCUGGGGCGGAUGACGGUACCGGAAGAAUAAGCACCGGCUAACUACGUGCCAGCAGCCGCGGUAAUACGUAGGGUGCGAGCGUUAAUCGGAAUUACUGGGCGUAAAGCGUGCGCAGGCGGUUUUGUAAGACAGGCGUGAAAUCCCCGAGCUCAACUUGGGAAUUGCGCUUGUGACUGCAAGGCUAGAGUAUGUCAGAGGGGGGUAGAAUUCCACGUGUAGCAGUGAAAUGCGUAGAGAUGUGGAGGAAUACCGAUGGCGAAGGCAGCCCCCUGGGACGUCACUGACGCUCAUGCACGAAAGCGUGGGGAGCAAACAGGAUUAGAUACCCUGGUAGUCCACGCCCUAAACGNUGUACACUAGUUGUGGGUAUUCUAUUCUCAGUACGUAGACUACGNGUAGAGUGACCGCGNGGNGUACGUCGCGAGAGUAACUANAAUUAGAGUAGUUAGNGUGNGAGNGCGACGGACGACGACGAGGGAGGAGG